GGAGAGGCUGCAGCUCAAUGGAAGAGCCUCCGUUUUGUAUGUAGAAGGUCCCAGGUUCAAUCUCCGGCUUCUCCC
Molecule: transfer RNA, 75 nt
Filed under: Sphaerodactylus townsendi
Lineage: Eukaryota; Metazoa; Chordata; Lepidosauria; Squamata; Sphaerodactylidae
Description: tRNA-Thr
Source: RNAcentral